Molecule: ribosomal RNA, 1372 nt
Filed under: uncultured bacterium
Lineage: Bacteria
Description: bacterial SSU rRNA
Rfam family: Bacterial small subunit ribosomal RNA
Source: RNAcentral
GAUGAACGCUGGCGGCGUGCCUAAUACAUGCAAGUCGAGCGAACGGACGAGAAGCUUGCUUCUCUGAUGUUAGCGGCGGACGGGUGAGUAACACGUGGAUAACCUACCUAUAAGACUGGGAUAACUUCGGGAAACCGGAGCUAAUACCGGAUAAUAUUUUGAACCGCAUGGUUCAAAAGUGAAAGACGGUCUUGCUGUCACUUAUAGAUGGAUCCGCGCUGCAUUAGCUAGUUGGUGAGGUAACGGCUUACCAAGGCAACGAUGCAUAGCCGACCUGAGAGGGUGAUCGGCCACACUGGAACUGAGACACGGUCCAGACUCCUACGGGAGGCAGCAGUAGGGAAUCUUCCGCAAUGGGCGAAAGCCUGACGGAGCAACGCCGCGUGAGUGAUGAAGGUCUUCGGAUCGUAAAACUCUGUUAUUAGGGAAGAACAUAUGUGUAAGUAACUGUGCACAUCUUGACGGUACCUAAUCAGAAAGCCACGGCUAACUACGUGCCAGCAGCCGCGGUAAUACGUAGGUGGCAAGCGUUAUCCGGAAUUAUUGGGCGUAAAGCGCGCGUAGGCGGUUUUUUAAGUCUGAUGUGAAAGCCCACGGCUCAACCGUGGAGGGUCAUUGGAAACUGGAAAACUUGAGUGCAGAAGAGGAAAGUGGAAUUCCAUGUGUAGCGGUGAAAUGCGCAGAGAUAUGGAGGAACACCAGUGGCGAAGGCGACUUUCUGGUCUGUAACUGACGCUGAUGUGCGAAAGCGUGGGGAUCAAACAGGAUUAGAUACCCUGGUAGUCCACGCCGUAAACGAUGAGUGCUAAGUGUUAGGGGGUUUCCGCCCCUUAGUGCUGCAGCUAACGCAUUAAGCACUCCGCCUGGGGAGUACGACCGCAAGGUUGAAACUCAAAGGAAUUGACGGGGACCCGCACAAGCGGUGGAGCAUGUGGUUUAAUUCGAAGCAACGCGAAGAACCUUACCAAAUCUUGACAUCCUUUGACAACUCUAGAGAUAGAGCCUUCCCCUUCGGGGGACAAAGUGACAGGUGGUGCAUGGUUGUCGUCAGCUCGUGUCGUGAGAUGUUGGGUUAAGUCCCGCAACGAGCGCAACCCUUAAGCUUAGUUGCCAUCAUUAAGUUGGGCACUCUAAGUUGACUGCCGGUGACAAACCGGAGGAAGGUGGGGAUGACGUCUAAUCAUCAUGCCCCUUAUGAUUUGGGCUACACACGUGCUACAAUGGACAAUACAAAGGGCAGCGAAACCGCGAGGUCAAGCAAAUCCCAUAAAGUUGUUCUCAGUUCGGAUUGUAGUCUGCAACUCGACUACAUGAAGCUGGAAUCGCUAGUAAUCGUAGAUCAGCAUGCUACGGUGAAUACGUUCCCGGGUCU